This 292-nucleotide ribosomal RNA is filed under the name uncultured bacterium. Its description in RNAcentral is "partial 16S ribosomal RNA". The record is from RNAcentral.
GGACUACUGGGGUAUCUAAUCCUGUUUGCUCCCCACGCUUUCGCUCCUCAGCGUCAGUACCGGUCCAGUGAGCCGCCUUCGCCACUGGUGUUCUUGCUAAUAUCUACGAAUUUCACCUCUACACUAGCAGUUCCACUCACCUCUACCGGACUCAAGAUACCCAGUAUCAAAGGCAGUUCUGGAGUUGAGCUCCAGGCUUUCACCUCUGACUUAAAUAUCCGCCUACGAGCGCUUUACGCCCAGUGAUUCCGAACAACGCUAGCCCCCUUCGUAUUACCGCGGCUGCUGGCAC